GGCAUGUAGUAGCAUGGGAAUAGAUGGCUGGUAUCAUAGAUUUCUGAAGGAGGGGGUAAGAUAGUUUUUACUUCAGGUCAGAGAUUCUAAAAUUCCAUCAACCACACAGAACAUGGAAUGUCCUUCCUGCUGUUACUUUGCAUGCUGGUGAUCUAAAUCCCUAGUUUUUUAAGGGUGGAGAGGUUAGCCUAUUUUCUCUAGCUUUCUAUAAAAUGCCAAGUAAUUUCCAGCUCAGUCUACUCAGUGGGAGCUAGCUCAGUGAACGAGCUGGUCUAUGAAAAGUGCCCAGGCUGGAGCCUGCCAGUCAGUCACAGUUACAUGCAAGUUGUGAUUGCUGAGCACAGUGUGAGAUGGAAACAAUAUUUAAUCUGAUAACAUUUGUUUUUCAGGUUGCUAAAAAUCAGCCAAGGGGCCAGGAUCACAUACAUAAAUAACUACAGUGGGGCAAAAUGGGAUUAUAGUGAUACCAGAAAUGUGAAAAAACCUGUGAUGGCAGAGGGGUUGCAUUUGUUAGAGGGACUAAGGAAAGAUCUAAACAGAAGUAUUGACCUUUUCAGUUAAGGCAGCUUUUUCUGAUGUGUGGGAUCAGGUGGAUCAGUGAUGGGAGCUGAUUUCAGGUAGCACUCUGACAUGGCCUGAAACAACUUUGAAUUCCAUAGUGAAAAAAAUGAUUCUCUUCUCCAGCUAGUCUGCUCUCCUCAGAGAGCAGCUCUUGACUUAGUACUGGUAGGGACAGCUCUCCAACAUAUGCUCAUCUGUCUUUUCUGCAAAGUGAGUGUAGACCUGAAGCUCAGAAUAUGGAGCAUCUACUUUGGAUUUGUGUAGCUUUUC
RNAcentral lists this long non-coding RNA (831 nucleotides) under Marmota monax (woodchuck). Lineage: Eukaryota; Metazoa; Chordata; Mammalia; Rodentia; Sciuridae. The record is from RNAcentral.